RNAcentral lists this ribosomal RNA (253 nucleotides) under uncultured bacterium. Its description in RNAcentral is "partial 16S ribosomal RNA". It matches the Rfam family "Bacterial small subunit ribosomal RNA", at positions 524 to 776 of the family's 1533-position model. RNAcentral also lists the same sequence under 1 other name. The record is from RNAcentral.
UACAGAGGCCUCGAGCGUUAGGCGGAAUCACUGGGCUUAAAGCGUGUGUAGGCGGAUGUCUAAGUGCCUUGUGAAAUCCCACGGCUUAACCGUGGAACUGCUUGGCAUACUGGAUGUCUUGAGCCACUCAGGGGCGAGCGGAACAAAUGGUGGAGCGGUGAAAUGCGUAGAUAUCAUUUGGAACACCAAAGGUGAAAACAGCUCGCUGGGAGUGUGCUGACGCUGAGACACGAAAGCCAGGGGAGCAAACGGG